Molecule: ribosomal RNA, 460 nt
Filed under: uncultured bacterium
Lineage: Bacteria
Description: partial 16S ribosomal RNA
Rfam family: Bacterial small subunit ribosomal RNA
Source: RNAcentral
CCUACGGGAGGCUGCAGUGAGGAAUAUUGGUCAAUGGGCGUAAGCCUGAACCAGCCAAGUCGCGUGAGGGAUGACGGUCCUAUGGAUCGUAAACCUCUUUUAUAAGGGAAUAAAGUGUGCUACGUGUCCCGUUUCUUAUGUACCUUAUGAAUAAGGCUCGGCUUACUCCGUGCCAGCAGCCGCGGUAAUACGGAGGGUCCGGGCGUUAUCCGGAUUUUUUUGGGUUAAAGGGUGCGGAGGCCGCCAUUUAAGGUUGGGGUGAAAGUCUGUGGCUCAACCGUCGCAUUGCCGUUGAAACUGGGGGGCUUGAGUGGGCGAGAGGCAGGCGGAAUGCGUGGUGUAGCGGUGAAAUGCUUAGAUAUCACGCAGAACCCCGAUUGCGAAGGCAGCCUACCGGGGCAUAACUGACGCUGAAGCACGAAAGCGUGGGGAUCGAACAGGAUUAGAUACCCUAGUAGUC